GUGCUUGCUUCAGCAGCACAAAUACUAAAAUUGGAAUGACACAGAGAAGAUUAGCAUGGCCUCUGCACAGGAAUGACACAUAAAAUAAAAUCAGUCAUAGCAAUUCUC
Molecule: small nuclear RNA, 108 nt
Filed under: Neogale vison (American mink)
Lineage: Eukaryota; Metazoa; Chordata; Mammalia; Carnivora; Mustelidae
Source: RNAcentral